UGAAAGCAUCUAAGCACGAAACUUGCCCCGAGAUGAGUUCUCCCUGACCCUUUAAGGGUCCUGAAGGAACGUUGAAGACGACGACGUUGAUAGGCCGGGUGUGUAAGCGCAGCGAUGCGUUGAGCUAACCGGUACUAAUGAACCGUGAGGCUUAACCUUACAACGCCGAAG
RNAcentral lists this ribosomal RNA (171 nucleotides) under Shigella sonnei. Its description in RNAcentral is "partial 23S ribosomal RNA". It matches the Rfam family "Bacterial large subunit ribosomal RNA", at positions 2772 to 2925 of the family's 2925-position model. Lineage: Bacteria; Pseudomonadati; Pseudomonadota; Gammaproteobacteria; Enterobacterales; Enterobacteriaceae. The record is from RNAcentral.